CUACUUACCUGGCAGGGGAGAUAUGGUGAUCAGAAGAUGGUUUUCCCAGGGUGAGGCUCGUCAACUGCACUCCAGAUCUGCUGACCCCUGUGAUUUCCCCAAAUGCUGCAAAAUCCACUGCAUAGUUUGUGGUAGUGGGGGACUCCAUUUGCACCUCCCCU
Molecule: small nuclear RNA, 161 nt
Organism: Perognathus longimembris pacificus (Pacific pocket mouse)
Lineage: Eukaryota; Metazoa; Chordata; Mammalia; Rodentia; Heteromyidae
Product: U1 spliceosomal RNA
Exons: 1
Source: RefSeq, a predicted model, not a curated record